ACAGUGGGCAAAUUCCUUACAGUUUUAGGAGCUCUUCCCACGUGUGUGUUUGAUAUAGAAACAGGAUCUCAGAUGUUUCUCUCUCUGGAGAGGAUAUUUAUUGACAUAAAAGAAAGGCAAGGUUAGAAUGGUUUGUCUAUGAACCUGUGUGAGCAAGCCCCUGGUAUAAGGAACUAUAUCUAUUAGGACCUAUUUAUUAUUACUGUCUAGCAGUUAGGGUCUAUUCUAUUUUCUUUUUAUUGUUUUUUUUCUUUUGUCUUAUUUUUUAAAAGAGAAGUAGAUGGAAAAACAUAUGGCCCUCUUCCUUUGGAUCAGAAGAUUUUUUUAUGGCUCACAAAGCUAUGCUCAUCAAUCCUUUGGUGUUGACAGCAAGGUAUCCCACAGUAUCUACCAGGUAGCUGUUGACCUGUAAAUCAUCCACCUUCUCUCCCAGACUUAUUGCCUCUGGGGAGCCCCUGCAUGGCAGCCUCCAGCUUGGAGCUGAAAAUAAUUGCUGAUCUUUAUAAAGGCACAGAGAGGCCUGAGGGAAGGAAUACUGGACCUAGAGAAUAGUGGCAGUGGUACAAAAGGGGCUGACCAGUCUGUAUAGUAACCUUUUUCUAAAAAAUUCAAUUGCAAGCCUUCCCAAGUCUGCACAUCCAGUUCUGUUGGCUUGUUAUCUGCGGCAGCAGAGAUCAGAUAUGAUGACAAAGCUAUGUGAACCCUGGGUGGAGAGACAUUCCCGUGAUGUGCCCUGUGGGACUUUUUCCUUCCAGCUGACAGCAUCGUCUGUUACAAAAAAAAAAAUAAAAAAAUAAAAAAAUUGUGCUUCUAAUCAAGACUGAAGCUGAGAAAUUGUCCUGACAGGGAUGGAAGCUGUAGCAUGCAUGGCCUGUUAGAUUUGCAUUCUUUGUUCAGUGGGACGUAAAGUCACUACCAACAAAUUGAAAUACCAAGGCUAGUCUCUCUGACUUUCCUAAACACAAUCACUCCACCCUCCACAUGCAUGCCUGCAGAUACACACAUCCACAUUACUACUACAGUCAAGUCUUUUUUUCUUUUUAGUUUCAGGUGGAAUCAAUCAAUCAAUUUCUCUCUGUGUAUCUGUCUCUCUCCAAUACUUCCCUGACUCAUGGCUGAUUUUCCUUCCAGAUUUGGUUUGUUUUAAAUUCAGGACAACCUUGAUAAAAUAAAGACACUUUACCACUAAGGAGAUUUGGGGGAAAGAAAAUAAGCCUCUGUCCUUAAAGGAAAUAGCAAAAGUUGAGUCAAAAAAUUUUUUUGAGUGGGCAUUAAUUGCAGAAAUAAGUGAGCGUUUCCCCACAAUGAUUA
RNAcentral lists this long non-coding RNA (1311 nucleotides) under Capra hircus (goat). RNAcentral describes it as "lncRNA (ENSCHIG00010006708.1)". Lineage: Eukaryota; Metazoa; Chordata; Mammalia; Artiodactyla; Bovidae. The record is from RNAcentral.